This 454-nucleotide ribosomal RNA is filed under the name uncultured Veillonella sp. Its description in RNAcentral is "bacterial SSU rRNA". It matches the Rfam family "Bacterial small subunit ribosomal RNA", at positions 88 to 507 of the family's 1533-position model. Lineage: Bacteria; Bacillati; Bacillota; Negativicutes; Veillonellales; Veillonellaceae. The record is from RNAcentral.
AAUCUUAGUGGCGAAACGGGGUGGAGUAACGACGGUAACUCAACCUGCCCUUCCACAGGGGGACGAACAAGUUGGAAACGACUAGCUAAUACCGCCAUACCGAUCUAACCUCGCAUCGAGGAUAGAUGAAAGUGGCCUCUACAUGUAAGCUAUCACUGAAGAGGGGAGUUGCGUCUGAUUAGCUAGUUGAGGGGUAACGGGCCCACCAAGGCGAUGAUCAGUAGCCGGUCCUGAGAGGAUGAACGGCCACAUUGGGACUGAGACACGGCCCAGACUCCUACGGGAGGCAGCAGUGGGGAAUCUUCCGCAAUGGACGAAAGUCUGACGGAGCAACGCCGCGUGAGUGAUGACGGCCUUCGGGUCGUAAAGCUCUGUUAAUCGGGACGAAAGGCCUUCUUGCGAAUAGUGAGAAGGAUUGACGGUACCGGAAUAGAAAGCCACGGCUAACUACGUG